Calidris pygmaea (Spoon-billed sandpiper) is the source of this 2525-nucleotide long non-coding RNA. Lineage: Eukaryota; Metazoa; Chordata; Aves; Charadriiformes; Scolopacidae. The record is from Ensembl.
GGGGAGGGGCGCAGACUCACCCGGCUGCGGGGGGAGGGGCGGGCGAGGGCGGGGCCGAGUCGUCGGAGGAGUCGGAGUCGGAGUCGGAGGAGGACGAGGAGGAGGACGAGGACGAGGAAGAGGAAGAGGAGGAGGAAGAGGAGGAGGAGGAGGAGGAGGAAGAGCUGCCGCCCUUGGGCGGGGCCGGGAGGGCGGCGCUGACGUCAUGGGUGGCCACGGUGGCCACGUCGCUGGUCACGCCGGCGGGGACGGCGGUGGCCCCAGAGUUGACGGUGGUGGCCACAACGGGGACGGUGGUAGCCACGGCGGGGACAUCGGUGGCCACAACGGGGAUGGUGGUGGCCACGGGGGCGGCACUGGUGACACUAGUGGCCACGGUGGGGACGUUGGUGGCCACGGUGGGGACGUUGGUGGCCGCGGCGGUGACACCGGUAGCUCCAGAGUUGACGCUGGUGACGCUGGUGGCCGCAGCAGGGACGUUGGUGGCCACGGCGGUGACACCGGUAGCUCCAGAGUUGACGCUGGUGACGCUGGUGGCCGCAGCAGGGACGUUGGUGGCCACGGCGGUGACACCGGUAGCUCCAGAGUUGACGCUGGUGACGCUGGUGGCCGCAGCAGGGACGUUGGUGGCCACGGCGGUGGCGCCGGCGGCCCCAGGUGUGACACUGGUGGCCACCGCAGAGACGUUGGUGGCCACGGGGGCGGCGCUGGUGGCCUUGGGGACACCGGUCAUACUGGUGGCCACGGUGGGGACGCUGGCGGCCUUCGGAGCGACGGCGACGCUGGUAGCCACGGCGGCGGCACUAGUGGCCACUGGGGUGACGGUGGUGGCCCUGGUGGCAGCAGCGGCGUUGGUGGCCACGGUGGCGACGCUGGUGGCCCUGGUGACAACGCCGGCGUUGGUGGCCACGGUGGCGACGCUGGUGGCCCUGGGAGCAACAGUGGCACUGGUGGCCGCGGUGGUGGCCACGGUGACGCUGGUGGCCCUGGCGGGGCUGAGGACACUGGUGGCUGCAGCGGUGGCCUUGGGAGCAAUGGUGGCACCGGUGGCCACAGGGGUGACACUGGUGGCCACGGGGGUGACGGUGACACUGGCCGGACUGGUGGCAGCAGGAGCCUUAAUGGUGGUGGCCACGGUGACGCCGGGAGUGCUGGUGGCCACAGAAGGGCCAGCAGUGGCCACGGGGGUGGCGUUGGUAGCCCUGGGGACAUCCUUGGGGACGUUCACGGCACUGACCACUGCAGCGGGGACGGUGGCCACGCUGGCCUUGGUGACAUCCACGGCGGCGGUGACGCCAGCGGUGGCCUUGGGGGUGACGUUGGUGGCCACGGUGGCCUUGGUGACACCCAUAGCGACAGCGAUGGCCCCUGGGGUGACAGCGGUGGCCACGGUGGCCUUGGUGGCCCCUCCGGUGACAAUGGUGGCCACGGUGGCCCCUCCAAUGGCCUUGGUGGCCCCUGGGGUGACAGCGGUGGCCCCAGGGGUGACAGAGUCCACAGUAGCCUUGGGGACGACGUUGGUGGCUACAGGGGUGACGCUGGUGGCCACAGGGAUGACGUUGGUGGCCACAGGGGUGACGGUGGUGGCCACAGGGGUGACGUUGGUGGCCACAGAGGCCUUAGCGGCCCCUACGGUGACAGCGGUGGCCCCUGAGGUGACAGAAUCCAUGGUGACCUUGGUGGCCCCAGGGGCGACAAGCGGGGCCCCAACAGUGGCUUUGGUGGCCCCAGAGGUGACAACGGUGGCCCCUGGGGUGACAGCAGCGGGCACAGCGGCUACUCCGGUGACAGUGGUGGCCCCCACGGUGGCUUUGGUGGCCCCUGGAGCGACAGAGCCAACGGUGACCCCCGCGGUGGCUUUGGUGGCCCCCGGAGCGACAGCGGUGGCCACAGUGGCGUUGGUGGCCCCUCCGGCGACAGCGGUGGCCACGGUGGCGUUGGUGGCCCCUCCGGCGACAGCGGUGGCCACGGUGGCGUUGGUGGCCCCCACGCUGGCAUUGGUGGCCCCUCCGGUGACAGCGGUGGCCCCCGGGGUGACAGCGACCGCAGCGGCCUUGGGAGCGACGGCGGUGGCCACAGGGGCGGCGCCGGUGGCCACAGGGGCGACGGCGUCCGCAGCGGCCUUGGGGGUGACGUUAGUGGCCACGGGGGCGCCGCCGGUAGCCACGGCGGCCUUGGGGGCCCCCGGGGUGCCAAGGGUGGCCUUGACGCCCCCCGGGGUGAGGUUGGUGGCCCCCGGGGCGGGGCCGGUGGCCGCGGCGGGGGCAGCCUUAGCGCCCCCCUCCUCCCGGCGGGCGGUGGCCAGCGCGGGGGGGGCCUUGGUGGCCGGGAGGAGGCGGGGCCCGGGGUGGGGGAGGGGCGCGAUGGCGGCCACGGGGGAGGAGGGGAGGUUGAGGCGGGCGGCCGGCAGCAGCGACCCCCCCCCGGCCCCCCCCACCCCCCGCAGAGCCCGGGGCAACCCCGGCGGGGGAGGGGGAGGGGUGGCCCCGGGUCCCGCCCCCCCGCGGGGGCGGGGCGCUGACGUC